This 492-nucleotide ribosomal RNA is filed under the name uncultured bacterium. RNAcentral describes it as "partial 16S ribosomal RNA". It matches the Rfam family "Bacterial small subunit ribosomal RNA", at positions 28 to 507 of the family's 1533-position model. The record is from RNAcentral.
GAUGAACGCUAGCUAUAGGCUUAACACAUGCAAGUCGAGGGGAAACGGCAUUAUGUGCUUGCACCUUUUGGACGUCGACCGGCGCGCGGGUGAGUAUCACGUAUCCCACCUGCCCUUUACUUGGUGAUACCCCGUUGAAAGACGGCCUAAUACCCGAUGUGAUUCAUUGAUGGCAUCAGAUAUGUAUAGAAGUUUUAUCGGUACAGGCUGGGGAUGCGUGUGAUUAGCUUGUUGGUGAGGUAACGGCUCACCACGGCGACGAUGAGUAGGGGUUCUGAGAGUAAGCUCCCCGAGAGUGGAACUGAGACACGGUCCAAUCUGCUACGGGACGCAGCAGUGAGGAAGAUUGGGGAAGGGACGCUAGCCUGAACCAGCCAAGUAGCGUGCAGGAAGACGGCGCUAGGGAUGGUAAACUGCUGGUAGACAAGAGCAAUUGGAUGCACGUGUGCGUUAUUGCCGGUAUCGGAUGAAUAAGCACCGGCUAACUCCGUG